GACCCACAGACUGAAAAUGCGGCCAGGCGGUGCCCGAAACAUUCUCCCAGCCUCCAAAGAGGCCAGUUUGGCUUUAUUACACGGGAGAUGUAAUUUAUUGGGAGAAAUGUUUGGGUUCGUGUGUCGGAUGGUGGAGAGUCAGAUUUGGAGUUCCCUGGGGAUCUCCGAGGAGAAGGUGUGUUAAGGAAAUCACCAAGUCCCAGAGUGUAGACGAGCCCGAUCCCUUCGCAGCAGAAGCAGAUGUUCACAAAGCAACUGACCAGGCCAGGUGUGUCCUUCAAGGCUACCUGCAUUCAACAGAGGCGACCACAGCCCAGACCCAUCCUUCUUGGGAGAGUUUCAAGAUGCUCCACAUAGUGGUGCCUAGCGCUCUGUGCACUCAGAGGCUAGAAGAAAAGAUACAGAGGUCCUCUUUCAAGGAGAGGCCCUGACGUUUCUAUUCUUACAAGGAUUCUUUGGUAAUAAAUACAGUGAAAACACCGUCACCGUGGAGAUAAUACUUAAUGCUCAAGAGGUACGUAGCAGAGAUUGCAUUCCAAUCAAGGACUUCCGUAACCCUGUCUACCAAGCCAGUAUCACCUGUAGGCCAGUUCACCUCCAUCCAGUCACUUUACAGCACUUGAGUGUUUGCUGUCCGCUCAAUUAAAAUCCUACUCUGGUGGGAAAAACCAGAUUUCCAAAUGGGGACUUUAUUGAUUCAAUAAAAUUUAAGAAAUUCUGCUUAUGGAAAAACUCAUUAACCCAAACUAAUAAAUACGAGUUUACCCU
This 768-nucleotide long non-coding RNA is filed under the name Sus scrofa (pig). Its description in RNAcentral is "lncRNA (ENSSSCG00040006068.1, ENSSSCG00060063188.1)". Lineage: Eukaryota; Metazoa; Chordata; Mammalia; Artiodactyla; Suidae. The record is from RNAcentral.